RNAcentral lists this unclassified non-coding RNA (254 nucleotides) under Chaetosphaeronema sp. RNAcentral describes it as "partial internal transcribed spacer region". The stretch from base 1 to 46 matches the Rfam family "Eukaryotic small subunit ribosomal RNA", at positions 1786 to 1831 of the family's 1831-position model. RNAcentral also lists the same sequence under 2 other names. The record is from RNAcentral. Lineage: Eukaryota; Fungi; Ascomycota; Dothideomycetes; Pleosporales; Phaeosphaeriaceae.
AAGUCGUAACAAGGUUUCCGUAGGUGAACCUGCGGAAGGAUCAUUACACUCAGUAGAUUUCUACUGCUCGGGGGGAGCGGAAAGUGCUUUUGCACGAGUACGCUCUCUUUCUGAAACCCUUGUCUUUUUGCGUACUUCUGUUUCCUCGGCGGGUUCGCCCGCCGGCUGGACAACUCAAUAACCUUUUUAAUUUUCAAUCAGCGUCUGAAUAAUUAUAAUAAUUACAACUUUCAACAACGGAUCUCUUGGUUCUG